CCGUAACUAUAACGGUCCUAAGGUAGCGAAAUUCCUUGUCGGGUAAGUUCCGACCUGCACGAAUGGCGUAAUGAUGGCCAGGCUGUCUCCACCCGAGACUCAGUGAAAUUGAACUCGCUGUGAAGAUGCAGUGUACCCGCGGCAAGACGGAAAGACCCCGUGAACCUUUACUAUAGCUUGACACUGAACAUUGAGCCUUGAUGUGUAGGAUAGGUGGGAGGCUUUGAAGCGUGGACGCCAGUCUGCGUGGAGCCAACCUUGAAAUACCACCCUUUAAUGUUUGAUGUUCUAACCUGGCGCCGUGAUCCGGCGUGGGGACAGUGUCUGGUGGGUAGUUUGACUGGGGCGGUCUCCUCCUAAAGAGUAACGGAGGAGCACGAAGGUUGGCUAAUCCUGGUCGGACAUCAGGAGGUUAGUGCAAUGGCAUAAGCCAGCUUGACUGCGAGCGUGACGGCGCGAGCAGGUGCGAAAGCAGGUCAUAGUGAUCCGGUGGUUCUGAAUGGAAGGGCCAUCGCUCAACGGAUAAAAGGUACUCCGGGGAUAACAGGCUGAUACCGCCCAAGAGUUCAUAUCGACGGCGGUGUUUGGCACCUCGAUGUCGGCUCAUCACAUCCUGGGGCUGAAGUAGGUCCCAAGGGUAUGGCUGUUCGCCAUUUAAAGUGGUACGCGAGCUGGGUUUAGAACGUCGUGAGACAGUUCGGUCCCUAUCUGCCGUGGGCGCUGGAGAAUUGAGGGGGGCUGCUCCUAGUACGAGAGGACCGGAGUGGACGCAUCACUGGUGUUCGGGUUGUCAUGCCAAUGGCAUUGCCCGGUAGCUACAUGCGGAAGAGAUAAGUGCUGAAAGCAUCUAAGCACGAAACUUGCCCCGAGAUGAGUUCUCCCUGAGACUUAGAGUCUCCUGAAGGAACGUUGAAGACGACGACGUUGAUAGGCCGGGUGUGUAAGCGCAGCGAUGCGUUGAGCUAACCGGUACUAAUGAACCGUGAGGCUUAACCUU
Molecule: ribosomal RNA, 997 nt
Filed under: human gut metagenome
Description: bacterial LSU rRNA
Rfam family: Bacterial large subunit ribosomal RNA
Source: RNAcentral